This is a long non-coding RNA of Solanum tuberosum (potato), 1121 nucleotides long. RefSeq lists it as uncharacterized. NCBI's taxonomy places the organism in Eukaryota, Viridiplantae, Streptophyta, Magnoliopsida, Solanales, Solanaceae. The transcript is spliced from 2 exons. The record is from RefSeq and is a predicted model, not a curated record.
GUAAGACUUGUGUGUUAUGAAGAGAGAUUAGUUACAAGAGUUGAUUGUUUUGGCAGAUGAUUGAAGGUGUUAAUGAAGUUGAAUUGUGGGCUUAGGUGAAUAGACAUUUUCCCUUAUAAUAUCUUUUUUUCAUAUGGUAUUUUCCCCAAAAAAUAUUGAGUAAGAAUUUGAGUUGCCGAAUUCUUUGAUGCUGCCAUGAAAUUAGAAGUGAUAACGUAAUGCUGAAAAUUCAGGGUAAGCUUUCAGUAUUGAUCUUUUUGUUGUUUGAACUACAUUUUUGAAAAAAUUCAACUACUAAUAUAGUAAGUUGAGGUGGUAUUCAAAGACAAAUUGUUUAAAUACAAAGUCAGAAUAACAAGCAGGUUGAAUCAGGUGAAAAGGUUCAUUUCUGGCUCUCCAAUUUCCAAGUCCUUUAAGGUACCAUUCCACAUUUUCUUAAGAACAUUUAAACUUUUGCCAAUGAAUCGUGAUGUUGGUGUUGCAUUUAUUUUUAGCAGUUCUUGGAUAAAAGCUGAAACUUUAAUAUUGAAAAUUCUGUUACUGGAUUGAGUUCUAGAAGUCUGUCAUAUCAUCUUAUGCUUUCUCAAAAUUUUUGUUUCAUGUGUUCAUAACAAACGAUUGUAAAACCCUUCUAAUGUUAUGCAUUUAUAUUUAUUUUUCACAAUUAUAUAUCAAGUAAAAGUGAUCUUUUGCUAUGUCUUUUUUCCUGUUUCUUGCAGGCCGCAUGAAAAUAUGCCUUCGGUUUGGAUUGAGUCAGGAAUGAUACGAAUGAUAUGAUUCCCUCUGCUGACUGUGAUGGAAGAAAAAUAGCAUUGGGGCGGCAUGGCACGACAACUGAAAAAGUCACAUACUUCUGUUUUGUAGCACCACGACAUUUAAUGGGUAUUGUAUAAAAUUACUUCAUACCAAACAAAGAAAUCUUCUUUUAAUACAUUGUUUUAUCCGUUUCUUAUCCUGUUUCAGUUGGUUCUCUCUAUUUGAUUAGAGGUCCAAUUUAACGGUUUCUUCAACCUUUGCUUAAUUUAUUUUGUAAGUUGAAAUAUCUUACUUUCGACUAUCUAAUGCUACUUGAUGUUAUGAUUUUAUCUGUGAAUAGAUUUUUGGAGUCCAUUUAUAUAUAA